Molecule: ribosomal RNA, 400 nt
Filed under: uncultured bacterium
Lineage: Bacteria
Description: partial 16S ribosomal RNA
Rfam family: Bacterial small subunit ribosomal RNA
Source: RNAcentral
CCUACGGGAGGCAGCAGUGGGGAAUAGUGCACAAUGGGGGAAACCCUGAUGCAGCGACGCCGCGUGAGUGAAGAAGGAUUUCGGUACGUAAAGCUCUAUCAGCAGGGAAGAAAAUGACGGUACCUGACUAAGAAGCCCCGGCUAACUACGUGCCAGCAGCCGCGGUAAUACGUAGGGGGCAAGCGUUAUCCGGAUUUACUGGGGGUCAAGGGAGCGUAGACGGCAGCGCAAGUCUGGAGUGAAAUCCAAGGGCUUAACCAUGGAACGGCUUUGGAAACUGUGCAGCUAGAGUGCAGGCGAGGUCAGCGGAAUUCCUAGUGUCGCGGUGAAAUGCGUAGAUAUUAGGCGGCACCCCAGUGGCGAAGGCGGCUUACUGGACUGUACCUGACGUUGAGGCUCG